AAUAGAUACCCGGGUAGUCCACGCCGUAAACGAUGAGUGCUAGGUGUCGGGGGGGUCCACCCCUCGGUGCCGAAGUCAACACAUUAAGCACUCCGCCUGGGGAGUACGGUCGCAAGACUGAAACUCAAAGGAAUUGACGGGGACCCGCACAAGCAGUGGAGUAUGUGGUUUAAUCCGAAGCAACGCGAAGAACCUUACCAGGUCUUGACAUCCCUCUGACCGCUGCAGAGAUGCGGCUUUCCUUCGGGACAGAGGAGACAGGUGGUGCAUGGUUGUCGUCAGCUCGUGUCGUGAGAUGUUGGGUUAAGUCCCGCAACGAGCGCAACCCUUGAAUUUAGUUGCCAGCGAGUAAAGUCGGGCACUCUAGAUUGACUGCCGGUGACAAACCGGAGGAAGGCGGGGAUGACGUCAAAUCAUCAUGCCCCUUAUGACCUGGGCUACACACGUACUACAAUGGCCGGCACAACGGGCAGCGAAGGAGCGAUCCGGAGCGAAUCCUCAAAAGCCGGUCUCAGUUCGGAUUGCAGG
RNAcentral lists this ribosomal RNA (528 nucleotides) under uncultured bacterium. RNAcentral describes it as "bacterial SSU rRNA". It matches the Rfam family "Bacterial small subunit ribosomal RNA", at positions 777 to 1304 of the family's 1533-position model. The record is from RNAcentral.